GGUAACGGAGAAUUAGGGUUCGAUUCCGGAGAAGGAGCCUGAGAAACGGCUACUACACCUACGGGUAGGCAGCAGGGACGUAAAUUACCCAAUCCUAAUUCAGGGAGGUAGUGACAAGAAAUAGCAAGCCGGGAGAUUCGUCUCUACGGCAUUGAAAUGAGAACAGUGUAAAUCUCUUAGCGAGGAACAAUUGGAGGGCAAGUCAGGUGCCAGCAGCCGCGGUAAUUCCUGCUCCAAUAGCGUAUAUUAAAGUUGUUGCAGUUAAAAAGCUCGUAGUUGAACUUCUGCCCAUUUUAGAUAGGUUCUCCUAGCUAAAAUGGGCAUACGUUUGCAAACCAAACUCGGCCUUCACUGGUUCGACUUGGGGAGUAAACAUUUUACUGUGAAAAAAUUAGAGUGUUCAAGGCAGGUUUUAGCCCGGAUACAUCAGCAUGGAAUAAUGGAAUAGGACUGAGUCCAUUUUAUUGGUUAUUGGAUUUGGUAAUGAUUAAUAGGGACAGUUGGGGGCAUUAGUAUUUAAUAGUCAGAGGUGAAAU
This 536-nucleotide ribosomal RNA is filed under the name Ichthyophthirius sp. DB16925. RNAcentral describes it as "SSU rRNA". It matches the Rfam family "Eukaryotic small subunit ribosomal RNA", at positions 358 to 917 of the family's 1831-position model. The record is from RNAcentral. Lineage: Eukaryota; Ciliophora; Oligohymenophorea; Hymenostomatida.